CCUACGGGAGGCAGCAGUGAGGAAUAUUGGUCAAUGGACGAGAGUCUGAACCAGCCAAGUAGCGUGAAGGAUGACUGCCCUAUGGGUUGUAAACUUCUUUUAUAUGGGAAUAAAACAGGGUAUGCAUACCCUCUUGUAUGUACCAUAUGAAUAAGGAUCGGCUAACUCCGUGCCAGCAGCCGCGGUAAUACGGAGGAUCCGCGCGUUAUCCGGAUUUAUUGGGUUUAAAGGGAGAGUAGGUGGAUUGUUAAGUCAGUUGUGAAAGUUUGCGGCUCAACCGUAAAAUUGAAGUUGAAACUGGCAGUCUUGAUGAAAGGAGAGGGGGGGGGAAGUGGGGGGGGAGGG
RNAcentral lists this ribosomal RNA (345 nucleotides) under uncultured bacterium. Its description in RNAcentral is "partial 16S ribosomal RNA". It matches the Rfam family "Bacterial small subunit ribosomal RNA", at positions 338 to 680 of the family's 1533-position model. The record is from RNAcentral.